This is a long non-coding RNA of Leopardus geoffroyi (Geoffroy's cat), 594 nucleotides long. RefSeq lists it as uncharacterized. NCBI's taxonomy places the organism in Eukaryota, Metazoa, Chordata, Mammalia, Carnivora, Felidae. The transcript has 3 exons. The record is from RefSeq and is a predicted model, not a curated record.
AAAUGGUGUCAUUGUUAUAAGCUGCUAAGUUUGGGGAAGUUUGUUACACAGUAAUAGUAAAUGGAACCCCUACGUUAUCUCAUUCAGCCUGUGUGAUAACCUUUCAAACUAGGUAUUAUUGUCAUAGCUACCUUACAGAUGAGGAAACACGCAAAGAAUUUUAAGUUAUUUGGCUGAAAUCUCACAGUUGGUAUGUGGCAGGGCCGAGCUGCAAGCCCAGGUCUGUCUUGCUCUGUGUGCAGGUUCUGAGUCAGAUCCUAUCCAGCCUUGGCUACACAUCCCAUUCAUGUGCUACAGUCCCCAGUGGGUCUGCACCCCUGCCUAGCAUAUCUGCUAGAUUACACAUGGACAUCUGUAAACAAAGACGGCCUCUGGAUUUUUCACUGUGUCGCCCCAUUCCCUUCCCCACCCCAAUUAAUCUGCCAUCUCAAGGUUUAGAAGGACAGCAAUUGAGGGAAGGAGGGGACAGAGACAAAGGAAGAAGAUGGGGAUGGAGAGAGAAGGAAAAGGUGUCCACAUGGAACACUGGGAAAAGGGCAUCCAUGUUUCACACUCUCAUGGUCCAUUUGAUUAAAUAAAUGUCCACUGACUGAA